AAAAACCCAUACCGCAUGGUCAGGUAUAUAUUAACCGGAAAUGACACAUGUUAAAAUAUCCAAACGAGAAAACUAACGGUCGGAUUCAUGUUCAAAAUAAUGAACGAUAAACAAAUAUAAAAUGUGCUGUAAUUGUCAAUACGACAUCUAUUCACCGGCGACCAACGGAUAAACAAUGAACAAAACUAAUUCCGUUUCUUUCGCCAUGUAAGCUCUAAAAGGAC
RNAcentral lists this long non-coding RNA (224 nucleotides) under Mytilus galloprovincialis (Mediterranean mussel). The record is from RNAcentral. Lineage: Eukaryota; Metazoa; Mollusca; Bivalvia; Mytilida; Mytilidae.